Molecule: ribosomal RNA, 292 nt
Filed under: uncultured bacterium
Lineage: Bacteria
Description: partial 16S ribosomal RNA
Rfam family: Bacterial small subunit ribosomal RNA
Source: RNAcentral
GUGUCAGCAGCCGCGGUAAUACGUAGGGGGCGAGCGUUGUUCGGAAUUAUUGGGCGUAAAGGGCGUGUAGGCGGUGCGGUAAGUCGGGCGUUAAAUCUCCAGGCUUAACUUGGAGGGGCCGUCCGGAACUGCCGUGCUAGGGUGCGGGAGAGGGCAGUGGAAUUCCCGGUGUAGCGGUGAAAUGCGUAGAUAUCGGGAGGAACAUCUGUGGCGAAGGCGGCUGCCUGGACCGCAACCGACGCUGAGGCGCGAAAGCUAGGGGAGCAAACAGGAUUAGAAACCCGUGUAGUCC